RNAcentral lists this long non-coding RNA (408 nucleotides) under Theobroma cacao (cacao). RNAcentral describes it as "long non-coding RNA (TCAC_LNC005987)". The record is from RNAcentral. Lineage: Eukaryota; Viridiplantae; Streptophyta; Magnoliopsida; Malvales; Malvaceae.
GGCUGAAUAUCAAUGGGGGAUUGUUUUUAUUUCAAGGAAAAUGGCAUGGAAAAUGAUGAAGUAAGGUGAAACGGUUAUGUAAAAAAAAAUUCGAUGCUAGUACACCAAAUGACCAAAUUUUUUCUAUAAGGAAUUGUGAGGGUUCUAAUGCUGAAUUUGGCUUUAUUUAAAUGUAUGUGGUAAAUUAAGGUAUUAGAGGAGAAAUGAAUUAAUUUGGAGGUGAUUUGGACACAAUCGCCGAUUAAUCGGGUGAUCGGUCGAAUUUAAUCGAUACCGUGAUUAAGCGGUAAUCGGACAUAUUUUUGCAUUUACAUAUCAAGCAUUAGUAGUUUAAAUUAAUUUAUAUCAAUUUAGGGACAAUAUAGUAAAUUCCUCGACUUUGUUAUUUGUCAAGGUGGUGAGACGUCC